UGUGGUUGCUGGAGCUUUUGUUCACUUC
This 28-nucleotide non-coding RNA is filed under the name Homo sapiens (human). The record is from RNAcentral. Lineage: Eukaryota; Metazoa; Chordata; Mammalia; Primates; Hominidae.